GACGAACGCUGGCGGCGUGCCUAAUACAUGCAAGUCGAACGCUGAAGCGCGAAGCUUAUUCUUCUUGGCUGAGUUGCGAACGGGAGAGUCACGCGUGGGUACCCUGCCUUGUAGCGGGGGAUAACUAUUGGAAACGAUAGCUAAUACCGCAUGACAAUGGAUGGCACAUGUCCUUUAUUUGAAAUGGGCAAUUGCUCCACUACCAGAUGGCCUUGCAUUGUAUUAGCUAGUAGGUGAGGUAAUGGCUCACCUAGGCGACGAGACAGAGCCGAACGGAGAGGGUGAUCAGCCGCACUGGGACGGCGACAGGGCCCAGACUCCCACGGGAGGCAGCAGUAGGGAAACGGCGGCAAUCAGGGGAACCCUGUCCGAGCUACGCCGAGUGCUGGAAGAAGGUCUCCGGGUCGUAAAUCACUGCCUUAAGGCUAGAAAGGGCGUGAGGCAGGAAAGUACACACUGUGACGGUAGCUGACGAGAAAGCGACGGCUAACUACGUG
RNAcentral lists this ribosomal RNA (497 nucleotides) under uncultured bacterium. Its description in RNAcentral is "partial 16S ribosomal RNA". It matches the Rfam family "Bacterial small subunit ribosomal RNA", at positions 28 to 507 of the family's 1533-position model. The record is from RNAcentral.